GAUGAACGCUGGCGGCGUGCCUAAUACAUGCAAGUCGAGCGAACAGAUGAGGAGCUUGCUCCUCUGACGUUAGCGGCGGACGGGUGAGUAACACGUGGAUAACCUACCUAUAAGACUGGGAUAACUUCGGGAAACCGGAGCUAAUACCGGAUAAUAUAUUGAACCGCAUGGUUCAAUAGUGAAAGACGGUUUUGCUGUCACUUAUAGAUGGAUCCGCGCCGCAUUAGCUAGUUGGUAAGGUAACGGCUUACCAAGGCAACGAUGCGUAGCCGACCUGAGAGGGUGAUCGGCCACACUGGAACUGAGACACGGUCCAGACUCCUACGGGAGGCAGCAGUAGGGAAUCUUCCGCAAUGGGCGAAAGCCUGACGGAGCAACGCCGCGUGAGUGAUGAAGGUCUUCGGAUCGUAAAGCUCUGUUAUUAGGGAAGAACAGAUGUAUAAGUAACUAUGCACGUCUUGACGGUACCUAAUCAGAAAGCAACGGCUAACUACGUG
RNAcentral lists this ribosomal RNA (497 nucleotides) under uncultured bacterium. RNAcentral describes it as "partial 16S ribosomal RNA". It matches the Rfam family "Bacterial small subunit ribosomal RNA", at positions 28 to 507 of the family's 1533-position model. The record is from RNAcentral.